This 1364-nucleotide ribosomal RNA is filed under the name uncultured Klebsiella sp. RNAcentral describes it as "bacterial SSU rRNA". It matches the Rfam family "Bacterial small subunit ribosomal RNA", at positions 27 to 1383 of the family's 1533-position model. Lineage: Bacteria; Pseudomonadati; Pseudomonadota; Gammaproteobacteria; Enterobacterales; Enterobacteriaceae. The record is from RNAcentral.
GAUUGAACGCUGGCGGCAGGCCUAACACAUGCAAGUCGAGCGGUAGCACAGAGAGCUUGCUCUCAGGUGACGAGCGGCGGACGGGUGAGUAAUGUCUGGGAAACUGCCUGAUGGAGGGGGAUAACUACUGGAAACGGUAGCUAAUACCGCAUAACGUCGCAAGACCAAAGUGGGGGACCUUCGGGCCUCAUGCCAUCAGAUGUGCCCAGAUGGGAUUAGCUAGUAGGUGGGGUAACGGCUCACCUAGGCGACGAUCCCUAGCUGGUCUGAGAGGAUGACCAGCCACACUGGAACUGAGACACGGUCCAGACUCCUACGGGAGGCAGCAGUGGGGAAUAUUGCACAAUGGGCGCAAGCCUGAUGCAGCCAUGCCGCGUGUGUGAAGAAGGCCUUCGGGUUGUAAAGCACUUUCAGCGGGGAGGAAGGCGUUAAGGUUAAUAACCUUGGCGAUUGACGUUACCCGCAGAAGAAGCACCGGCUAACUCCGUGCCAGCAGCCGCGGUAAUACGGAGGGUGCAAGCGUUAAUCGGAAUUACUGGGCGUAAAGCGCACGCAGGCGGUCUGUCAAGUCGGAUGUGAAAUCCCCGGGCUCAACCUGGGAACUGCAUUCGAAACUGGCAGGCUAGAGUCUUGUAGAGGGGGGUAGAAUUCCAGGUGUAGCGGUGAAAUGCGUAGAGAUCUGGAGGAAUACCGGUGGCGAAGGCGGCCCCCUGGACAAAGACUGACGCUCAGGUGCGAAAGCGUGGGGAGCAAACAGGAUUAGAUACCCUGGUAGUCCACGCCGUAAACGAUGUCGAUUUGGAGGUUGUGCCCUUGAGGCGUGGCUUCCGGAGCUAACGCGUUAAAUCGACCGCCUGGGGAGUACGGCCGCAAGGUUAAAACUCAAAUGAAUUGACGGGGGCCCGCACAAGCGGUGGAGCAUGUGGUUUAAUUCGAUGCAACGCGAAGAACCUUACCUGGUCUUGACAUCCACAGAACUUUCCAGAGAUGGAUUGGUGCCUUCGGGAACUGUGAGACAGGUGCCGCAUGGCUGUCGUCAGCUCGUGUUGUGAAAUGUUGGGUUAAGUCCCGCAACGAGCGCAACCCUUAUCCUUUGUUGCCAGCGGUUAGGCCGGGAACUCAAAGGAGACUGCCAGUGAUAAACUGGAGGAAGGUGGGGAUGACGUCAAGUCAUCAUGGCCCUUACGACCAGGGCUACACACGUGCUACAAUGGCAUAUACAAAGAGAAGCGACCUCGCGAGAGCAAGCGGACCUCAUAAAGUAUGUCGUAGUCCGGAUUGGAGUCUGCAACUCGACUCCAUGAAGUCGGAAUCGCUAGUAAUCGUAGAUCAGAAUGCUACGGUGAAUACGUUCCCGGGCCUUG